AUGAUUCAUCAUCUUCGCGUUGCAUUUCAAUCUUCAACCACCAUCAACAAUCUUCUGUCUUCAACAAAUAAAGCUUCUACACUGCUCAAAAGCCUCACACGAAUCAAUAACUUGCAUAGAAGAACCAAGAGGAAGAAAUUGAAAAAGAAGAAAAGAAGAGCAAUUAUAUUACCUUACCUCUGGUUUUCUAUUAUCUCCUUCCAAGUCACGAGCAUAGGUUCCAAUUUCUUCUACUUUUCUGUCUAA
This is a non-coding RNA of Vicia faba (fava bean), 246 nucleotides long. The record is from the annotation of a GenBank genome assembly. Lineage: Eukaryota; Viridiplantae; Streptophyta; Magnoliopsida; Fabales; Fabaceae.